This is a long non-coding RNA of Vidua chalybeata, 1793 nucleotides long. RefSeq lists it as uncharacterized. Lineage: Eukaryota; Metazoa; Chordata; Aves; Passeriformes; Viduidae. The transcript is spliced from 3 exons. The record is from RefSeq and is a predicted model, not a curated record.
GCCGGGCUGGAGUGGGAUUUCGGGGCCAGGGCCCCCAGCACGCCCCUAGAAUCACGGAAUCGGUUUAAGAAAGUACCUCUGAGAUCAUAAAAUCCAGCCUAUGACUGAUCACCAUCGCCUCACCUAGGUCAUGCCACUGAGUGCCACAACUAGUCUUUCCUUAAACAUCUCCGGGGACGGUGACUCCACCACCUCCCCGGGUGGGGAGGUCUAAUGACCCAUUUUUGUGAAGAAAUUUUGUUUUCCUCUGGCACAGCUUGACACUAUGUCCUCUAGUCCUGUCACUGGUUGCCUGGGAGAAGAGACUGACCCCCACCUGGCUACAGCCUCCUUUCAGGGAAUUGUAGAGAACGAGAAGAAGGGAGAAAGUAACAAUGAAUGGUGAAAAGCUGGAGGAGAUGCUUCAAGAGCAGCUUCAUGAACAUCAAGAUUUUCACAAACUACAUAAUUGUUACUGACUUCAGAGGUUUUUCUACAACUGAAAUUCAUAAUUUUGAGUAAACUUGCCAUGUUGGAAAAAUCAGCUGUCCAGAAGGGAAUUAAUUGAAAUCAUUAUGCAGUGCAGAUUGUACAUGGAGCUAGACAACAGAAAAUGCAACUUGCAGCUCUGACAUCUGCUAGGUGCCCAAAGCACCCCAUACCCUCUUCCUCUGCCUGUACAGAAUGAGAACACUCGGAGGUAAUUUUUGGGAGUGGCACUGGUACUGAAUGAGAUUCCCUUUGUCUCAGAGGCUCUCCAGCAUCAGCACAACAUGCCAGUUCCAUCAGUUCUUCUGUGUGUACUUUCCUCUGAGAAGGUCAUUUAUGCCCCAAGUCCAAUGAGUAUAGAAGACCCCAAAUUGCUCUCUGUCAGGUUUUUGGCAGGAAUUUCAGCUCAAGGCUUCCAUGAGUAAAAUGUAACUGCUUGUUGACGGGAUAUACUGCAAUGGUGAACCUAUUCCACUUACAGCUUUGGUUUGGUUUUAGGUCUCAAAUUUGUUCUAGGAUAUCUACAUAACUUAGAGUUUUCUUGGGAGCCAGCAACCAAAAUUAGUCUCAUUGGUUUCUGUGAAUAUGUAUUUCCAUCAAUAAAUCCUGAAGCUUAAUAAAGAAUUUAUUUUUAUCAGUGUGAAAUUCAAAGCAAAAAAUAGUAAUGAUGGAAACAAAAUUAAGAUCUACUGACUCUCAUCUUGAUGCCCCAAACAGUAGAGCUCUCUGCAAUUAGAAGGGAGAAAAAAGGAAGUGGAUUGAAAGAUAUUUUAAUAAAAUAGUUUUUAAAACUUUUAAAAUACUUGAAUGCAUACAGUGAAGUUUGAACCUGAGAAUAAUUCUUUGAGGUGCCUGACAAUUGGUAUGCUAUAAGCAAUUCAGCAUUCUUGUUUGACUGGGACAUUCACAGGUUAUAGUGAUGGUUCCCAUGUUCCCUCAGAAAUGUUUAAAUUGCUUUUUAUUCAAAAUUUUGACUGUGAAGCAGGACAUUUUUCAGAGAGAGAACAUACUCUUCCCUGAGCUUGUGCUAUGGCAAAGUGAAUGUGAUCACUCUUCUUGAAAGAUGGCUCUGUAUUUAACACUAACUUCUAAGAUAGAAUUUUUAAAUGAGAACAUUGUUUUUUUCUCUCAGUUUCACAAACUAGAACUUUCUUUAUAUCUCAUUUUGUAAGGGCAGACAGCUUACUAUAAGAACAUUUAAGAAAAACUGGAAAUUUAAUUGAAUCCAAGUCCUUACUCUGAGAAUGUAUUUUCAUAUUUAUAUGACAAAGGCACAACUUAUACAAAUAAGCAAUUGUAAUUAAAAAAUGCUGUCAAAAUCCUAA